Molecule: ribosomal RNA, 496 nt
Filed under: uncultured bacterium
Lineage: Bacteria
Description: partial 16S ribosomal RNA
Rfam family: Bacterial small subunit ribosomal RNA
Source: RNAcentral
AUUGAACGCUGGCGGAAUGCUUUACACAUGCAAGUCGAACGGUAGAGGGGGCAACCCCUCGAGAGUGGCGAACGGGUGAGUAAUAUAUCGGAACGUGCCCAGUCGUGGGGGAUAACGUAGCGAAAGUUACGCUAAUACCGCAUACGAUCUAAGGAUGAAAGCGGGGGAUCGCAAGACCUCGCGCGAUUGGAGCGGCCGAUAUCAGAUUAGGUAGUUGGUGGGGUAAAGGCUCACCAAGCCAACGAUCUGUAGCUGGUCUGAGAGGACGACCAGCCACACUGGAACUGAGACACGGUCCAGACUACUACGGGAGGCAGCAGUGGUGAAUUUUGGAUAAUGGACGCAAGUCUGUUCCGGCCAUUCCGCGUGCAGGAUGAAGGCGCUCGGGUUGUAAACUGCUUUUGUACGGAACGAAAAGGUCUCUCUUAAGACGGGGGACUCAUGACGGUACCGUAAGAAUAAGCACCGGCUAACUACGUGCCAGCCGCCGCGGUAA